This 164-nucleotide ribosomal RNA is filed under the name Paragorgia regalis. RNAcentral's name for it is "partial 16S ribosomal RNA". Lineage: Eukaryota; Metazoa; Cnidaria; Anthozoa; Scleralcyonacea; Coralliidae. RNAcentral also lists the same sequence under 12 other names. The record is from RNAcentral.
ACACAGCUCGGUUUCUAUCUACAAUGUUCAAUCCCAACUUUUCUGAGUUCUAGUACGCAAGGAAUGGUCUCAGCGAUGCCCGACUAUAUUGGCCCCAUCGACGUAAUCAACUUCUGGCUGCUGCAAAGAAGGAGAACAAAAGGUUUAGGGAUUAGUUAGGUGCC